RNAcentral lists this ribosomal RNA (459 nucleotides) under uncultured bacterium. RNAcentral describes it as "bacterial SSU rRNA". It matches the Rfam family "Bacterial small subunit ribosomal RNA", at positions 28 to 507 of the family's 1533-position model. The record is from RNAcentral.
GAUGAACGUUGGCGGCGUGCCUAAUACAUGCAAGUCGAACGGAGACGGUAGCAAUACGGUCUCAGUGGCGAACGGGUGAGUAACGCGUUGGUGACCUGCCCCGAAGUGUGGAAUAACAGAUCGAAAGAGCUGCUAAUACCGCAUAAUAUCCAGAAGAUUAGAGGCGGUUGGGCAAAGGUGCAAAUCGCUGGGGAGGGGCCUGCGUCCCAUCAGCUAGUUGGUUGGGUAACGGCCAACCAAGGCGAUGACGGGUAGGGGACCUGAGAGGGUGGCCCCCCACAAUGGAACUGAAACACGGUCCAUACACCUACGGGUGGCAGCAGUAGGGGAUCUUGCUUAAUGGGCGCAAGCCUGAAGCAGCAACGCCGCGUGUGCGAUGACGGCCUUCGGGUUGUAAAGCACUUUUGGUCGGGAAGAGGAAGGACGGUACCGGCCGAAUAAGCCUCGGCUAACUACGUG